This 628-nucleotide unclassified non-coding RNA is filed under the name Hevea brasiliensis (rubber tree). The record is from RNAcentral. Lineage: Eukaryota; Viridiplantae; Streptophyta; Magnoliopsida; Malpighiales; Euphorbiaceae.
AUCUCAGAAUAGGAUAGAUCUACAGGUGUAGACGUUACAUGGACUCCGAAAAAUGUUCCAGUGUUGCGAUAGAUCAUCUUCACUGUGGAGUUCACUGCGAUCAUAUCAGUUGCCACUCCUGUGUAAUCUGAGCCGGCUUGAAUGCUGAAAUGCUCAAAAGUUAUACUCUUCAUCGUGAUCUUGGGCUUCUGUGGCCUGCUGGCACCCCAGAGAAUUAAAGAGAACAUAGAGAAGAGAACAAAGAAACCCGACACAAAAAUAAGAAAGUAGCAGCGACGAGGUAGACCCCUUUCACGCUCGUCAUCUUCGAGAAGUCCUUCUUCUUCAAUCAUCACACAGUCUUUCCAUUGCUUCUGUCCCUUUUUCUGCCCGCCUUUCGACGCAUCAUUGGGAGAAAUCUUCCGGGAUCCCGGUUUCAACGACCCAGAAAACCUGCUGGUAGAGGACUCACGCGAGUGGCGGCCAACAGAGGAGUGAGAAUGAGGUGGAGAUCCCGCAGGGCUAAGCACCGGCGUGGAAUGGAAAGACAUCGUCGUUUUCUCCCCAUCGUGAGAGUCCCGUGAUGGGCUCUGUACAUAAUAGACCGGGCGGCGUGGAGAUCUAGUGGGAGACGAUGGUGCUAGACUGG